RNAcentral lists this ribosomal RNA (482 nucleotides) under uncultured bacterium. Its description in RNAcentral is "partial 16S ribosomal RNA". It matches the Rfam family "Bacterial small subunit ribosomal RNA", at positions 30 to 507 of the family's 1533-position model. The record is from RNAcentral.
AUUGAACGCUGGCGGCAUGCCUUACACAUGCAAGUCGAACGGUAACAGGUCUUCGGAUGCUGACGAGUGGCGAACGGGUGAGUAAUACAUCGGAACGUGCCCGAUCGUGGGGGAUAACGAAGCGAAAGCUUUGCUAAUACCGCAUAAGAUCUACGGAUGAAAGCAGGGGACCGCAAGGCCUUGCGCGAACGGAGCGGCCGAUGGCAGAUUAGGUAGUUGGUGGGAUAAAAGCUUACCAAGCCGACGAUCUGUAGCUGGUCUGAGAGGACGACCAGCCACACUGGGACUGAGACACGGCCCAGACUCCUACGGGAGGCAGCAGUGGGGAAUUUUGGACAAUGGGCGAAAGCCUGAUCCAGCCAUGCCGCGUGCAGGAUGAAGGCCUUCGGGUUGUAAACUGCUUUUGUACGGAACGAAAAGACUCUGGUUAAUACCUGGGGUCUAUGACGGUACCGUAAGAAUAAGCACCGGCUAACUACGUG